GGGGCCGUAGCUCAGCGGUAGAGCGGCCCACUUUCGCAAAAUGGGACGGCGGUCGGUUCAACUCCGGCCGGCCCCGCC
This 78-nucleotide transfer RNA is filed under the name Aquisphaera giovannonii. Its description in RNAcentral is "tRNA-Ala". It matches the Rfam family "tRNA". From Rfam's summary of the family: Transfer RNA (tRNA) molecules are approximately 80 nucleotides in length. Their secondary structure includes four short double-helical elements and three loops (D, anti-codon, and T loops). Lineage: Bacteria; Pseudomonadati; Planctomycetota; Planctomycetia; Isosphaerales; Isosphaeraceae. The record is from RNAcentral.